CGCCUCCUUUUCCUCUACUUCCAUGAACUUCCCCCGCGCCCUUCUCCUCGUAGCCGCCGGUAGGGCGGGAGUCGCCGCGCGAGCAAACAGCAGGUGGCGCUCGAGCGCCGCGUCCGGAAGUGGGGGGGGGUAACUCGGCGGGGGGGGGGCGGAAUCUGCCCGGCAACACGUGACGCGCCCGGCCCGGCGGGAGCGGGGAUUGGCUGCCGCCCUCCGCCGACCGUCAGACGGGAGCAGCGCCAGCCGCGGAAUUCAGCGUCCCGUCGGCCGACCGGGAGGGGAAUGUGAACCGGAUGGACGGCUCGGCGCCGGGAAUGCCGUCCGGAGCCUGACUCCCCGGGAAGCGGACGCCCCGGGUGUUUUCACGGAUGAGGGAACUGAGGCUAAGAGAAGUUAAGUGACUGCGUGCGGAGCACUAGCCCCAAGCGCCGGGGAGCCGACGGGGCGGUCGGGUCGUCUGACGGCCUUCAUCCCCAUUUCACAGCCGAGGUCACCGAGGCCCCGAGUCACGCGGCCGGCGGAGCCGGGACCGGAACCCGUGAAGCCCGCCUCCGGAGCCCGGGCUCUUCUCGCGGCCGGGCGGAGGGUGAGGAGGGGCCCCCCGGGCGCUGACCAUGUCCCCGGCGGGCGGGCGGCCGUACCGCUGCCCCGACUGCGGCAAGAGCUUCCGCUACAGCUCCGUCCUGCGCCUGCACGGGCGCGUCCACGCCGGCGGC
Tachyglossus aculeatus (Australian echidna) is the source of this 716-nucleotide long non-coding RNA. RefSeq lists it as uncharacterized. The transcript is spliced from 3 exons. The record is from RefSeq and is a predicted model, not a curated record. NCBI's taxonomy places the organism in Eukaryota, Metazoa, Chordata, Mammalia, Monotremata, Tachyglossidae.